This 1129-nucleotide ribosomal RNA is filed under the name Klebsiella pneumoniae. RNAcentral's name for it is "bacterial SSU rRNA". It matches the Rfam family "Bacterial small subunit ribosomal RNA", at positions 1 to 1123 of the family's 1533-position model. Lineage: Bacteria; Pseudomonadati; Pseudomonadota; Gammaproteobacteria; Enterobacterales; Enterobacteriaceae. The record is from RNAcentral.
AUUGAAGAGUUUGAUCAUGGCUCAGAUUGAACGCUGGCGGCAGGCCUAACACAUGCAAGUCGAGCGGUAGCACAGAGAGCUUGCUCUCGGGUGACGAGCGGCGGACGGGUGAGUAAUGUCUGGGAAACUGCCUGAUGGAGGGGGAUAACUACUGGAAACGGUAGCUAAUACCGCAUAAUGUCGCAAGACCAAAGUGGGGGACCUUCGGGCCUCAUGCCAUCAGAUGUGCCCAGAUGGGAUUAGCUAGUAGGUGGGGUAACGGCUCACCUAGGCGACGAUCCCUAGCUGGUCUGAGAGGAUGACCAGCCACACUGGAACUGAGACACGGUCCAGACUCCUACGGGAGGCAGCAGUGGGGAAUAUUGCACAAUGGGCGCAAGCCUGAUGCAGCCAUGCCGCGUGUGUGAAGAAGGCCUUCGGGUUGUAAAGCACUUUCAGCGGGGAGGAAGGCGUUAAGGUUAAUAACCUUGGCGAUUGACGUUACCCGCAGAAGAAGCACCGGCUAACUCCGUGCCAGCAGCCGCGGUAAUACGGAGGGUGCAAGCGUUAAUCGGAAUUACUGGGCGUAAAGCGCACGCAGGCGGUCUGUCAAGUCGGAUGUGAAAUCCCCGGGCUCAACCUGGGAACUGCAUUCGAAACUGGCAGGCUAGAGUCUUGUAGAGGGGGGUAGAAUUCCAGGUGUAGCGGUGAAAUGCGUAGAGAUCUGGAGGAAUACCGGUGGCGAAGGCGGCCCCCUGGACAAAGACUGACGCUCAGGUGCGAAAGCGUGGGGAGCAAACAGGAUUAGAUACCCUGGUAGUCCACGCCGUAAACGAUGUCGAUUUGGAGGUUGUGCCCUUGAGGCGUGGCUUCCGGAGCUAACGCGUUAAAUCGACCGCCUGGGGAGUACGGCCGCAAGGUUAAAACUCAAAUGAAUUGACGGGGGCCCGCACAAGCGGUGGAGCAUGUGGUUUAAUUCGAUGCAACGCGAAGAACCUUACCUGGUCUUGACAUCCACAGAACUUUCCAGAGAUGGAUUGGUGCCUUCGGGAACUGUGAGACAGGUGCUGCAUGGCUGUCGUCAGCUCGUGUUGUGAAAUGUUGGGUUAAGUCCCGCAACGAGCGCAACCCUUAUCCUUUGUUGCCAGCG